This 253-nucleotide ribosomal RNA is filed under the name uncultured bacterium. RNAcentral's name for it is "partial 16S ribosomal RNA". It matches the Rfam family "Bacterial small subunit ribosomal RNA", at positions 524 to 776 of the family's 1533-position model. The record is from RNAcentral.
UACAGAGGGUGCAAGCGUUAAUCGGAUUUACUGGGCGUAAAGGGUGCGUAGGCGGGUCUUUAAGUCAGGGGUGAAAUCCUGGAGCUCAACUCCAGAACUGCCUUUGAUACUGAGGAUCUUGAGUUCGGGAGAGGUGAGUGGAACUGCGAGUGUAGAGGUGAAAUUCGUAGAUAUUCGCAAGAACACCAGUGGCGAAGGCGGCUCACUGGCCCGAUACUGACGCUGAGGCACGAAAGCGUGGGGAGCAAACAGG